UACGGGGGGAGCAAGCGUUGUUCGGAUUUACUGGGCGUAAAGGGCGCGUAGGCGGUCAGCACAAGUCAGUUGUGAAAUCUCCGGGCUUAACUGGGGAACUGCGUGUGAUACUGGAUGGCUUGGAUUUGGGAGAGGGAUGCGGAAUUCCAGGUGUAGCGGUGAAAUGCGUAGAUAUCUGGAGGAACACCGGUGGCGAAGGCGGCAUUCUGGACCGAAACUGACGCUGAGGCGCGAAAGCCAGGGGAGCAAACGGG
RNAcentral lists this ribosomal RNA (254 nucleotides) under uncultured bacterium. RNAcentral describes it as "partial 16S ribosomal RNA". It matches the Rfam family "Bacterial small subunit ribosomal RNA", at positions 524 to 776 of the family's 1533-position model. The record is from RNAcentral.